RNAcentral lists this ribosomal RNA (492 nucleotides) under uncultured bacterium. Its description in RNAcentral is "partial 16S ribosomal RNA". It matches the Rfam family "Bacterial small subunit ribosomal RNA", at positions 30 to 507 of the family's 1533-position model. The record is from RNAcentral.
AUUGAACGCUGGCGGUAGGCCUAACACAUGCAAGUCGAACGGCAGCACAGGAAGAGCCUUCUUUUAGGGUGGGCGAGUGGCGGACGGCUUAAGAAGACAUCGGAGCUUAUGGAUUCGAAGAUGUUAACGUAUGUAAUAUUACGCUAAUACCUCAUACUACCUAAGGGUGUAACCAUCGGGUCUUCGUACGUUGCUCCAUUCACUUAGCCGAUGUCGAAUUAGCUAGUUGGCGGGGUACAGGCCCACCAAGUCGACGAUCCGUAGCUGGUAUGAGAGGAUGACUAGCCACACUGGAACUGAGACACGGUCCAGACUACUACGGGAGGCAGCAGUGGGGAAUAUUGGACAAUGGGCGCAAGCCUGAUCCAGCCAUACCGCGUGCAUGACGAAGGCCUUCGGGUUGUAAAACCCUUUUGUUGGGAAAGAAAAGGAGCAGGUUAAUACCCGGCUGUCCUGACGGUACCCAAAGAAUAAGCACCGGCUAACUUCGUG